UGGGGAAGUUUUCCGCAUUGGGCGAAAGCCUGACGGAGCAAUGCCGCGUGGAGGUGGAAGGCCUACGGGUCGUCAACUUCUUUUCUCGGAGAAGAAACAAUGACGGUAUCUGAGGAAUAAGCAUCGGCUAACUCUGUGCCAU
Molecule: ribosomal RNA, 142 nt
Filed under: uncultured bacterium
Lineage: Bacteria
Description: partial 16S rRNA
Rfam family: Bacterial small subunit ribosomal RNA
Source: RNAcentral